AUGCUUGCUUGGACAGCCUGUAUGCUAAAAUUGGAACAAUAUAGAGCAGAUUAGCAUGACAACUGUGCAAGAAUGA
Molecule: small nuclear RNA, 76 nt
Filed under: Notechis scutatus (mainland tiger snake)
Lineage: Eukaryota; Metazoa; Chordata; Lepidosauria; Squamata; Elapidae
Source: RNAcentral